AGCUCUAGUUUACAUUUAGUUAUUAGCUCAUAUCUUAGCUUAUGUUCUUUAUCUUUGCUUGUCUUAGCUUUUCAUUAAUUUAUGUUUCAAUUUGUAUAAGUUUAGCUUGUGCUCUAGUAUGCUUUAGCUCACCUUAGCCUUCCAUUAGCUUGUGUAGCCUGUGUCUUAGUUUAAGUUUGUAUCUUGUUAGCCUAUUCGUCUUAUAUCUG
This 209-nucleotide long non-coding RNA is filed under the name Elaeis guineensis (African oil palm). RNAcentral describes it as "long non-coding RNA (EGUI_LNC078416)". The record is from RNAcentral. Lineage: Eukaryota; Viridiplantae; Streptophyta; Magnoliopsida; Arecales; Arecaceae.